GGACAUCCCUGGCUGACACAGAACACUCCAGGAUGACACAGGAUACCCCAGGUUGACACAGGACACCCCAGGCUGAACCAGGAUACCCCAGGUUGACACAGGACACCCCAGGCUGACUUUGGACACUCCAGAGUGACACAGGACACUCCAGCAUGACUCAGGAGAUCCCAGGAUGACUCAGGAGACCCCAGGAUGACUCAGGACACCCAAGUCUGGUACAGGACACAACAGGAUGACACAGGACACCCAGGCAUACACAGGACAUCUUAGGCUGACUCAGGACAACCAAGGAUGACACAGGACACCCCAGAGUGACACAGAACACCCCAGGCUGAGUCAGGACAACAUAAGAUGAUUCAGGACACCCCAGGAUGGCAUUGGACACUCUGGGAAGACACAGGAAAACCGAGGAUGACACAGGACACCCAGUCUUACGCAGGAAAUCCUAGGAUGACUCAGGAGACACCAGCAUGACUCAGGACAACCCAGGAUGUCACAAGACACCACACACUGACACAGGACACCCCAGGAUGACACAGGACUCCCCAGGCUGAUGCAGGACACCCCUGAAUGACACAUGAUACCCCAGAAUGACUCAGCACAUCCAAAGAUGGAUCAGAUCACCCCAUGCUGACACAGGACACCCCAAGAUGACUCUGCAUAACCCAGGCUGAAACAGGACACCCCAGGAUGACUCAGGACACACAAGGAUGUCUCAGGAGACCCCAGGAUAACCCAGGACACCCCAGGAUGACUCAGGAGACCCCAGGAUGACUCAGGACACCCCAGGAUGACUCAGGACACACAAGGAUGUCUCAGGAUUCCCCUGGCUGAUUCAGCACACCUGAGGAUGACAAAGGAUACCCCCGGAUGACUCAGGAGACCCCAGGAUAACCCAGGACACCCCAGGAUGACACAGGACACCCCAGGAUGACUCAGGACAUCUCAGGGUGACACAGGACAUUCAGGAUGACUCAGGACACCCCGGGAUGAUACAGGAUAGCACAGGCUGACACAGCAUACCCUAGCAUGACACAUGACACCCAGGAUGACUCAGGACUCCCGAGGCUGACUUUGGACACCCCAAGAUGACUCAGGACACCCCAGGGUGACACAGGAAAC
Molecule: long non-coding RNA, 1122 nt
Filed under: Cricetulus griseus (Chinese hamster)
Lineage: Eukaryota; Metazoa; Chordata; Mammalia; Rodentia; Cricetidae
Description: lncRNA (ENSCGRG00015035112.1)
Source: RNAcentral